ACCAGACGUGGUGGCAUGUGCCUGUAGUCCCAGCUACUUGGGAAGCUGAGGUGGGAGGAUCGCUUGAACCCAGGAGUUCUGGGCUGUAGUGUGCUAUGCUGAUCAGGUGUCCGCACUAAGUUCAGUAUCAAUAUGGUGACCUCCUGGGAGCAGGGGACCACCAGGUUUCCUAAGGAGGGGUGAACUGGUCCAGGUCAGAAACGGAGCAGGUCAAAACUCCUGUGCUGAUCAGUAGUGGGAUCGCGCCUGUGAAUAGCCACUGCACUCCAGCCCGGGCAACAUAAUGAGACUCUGUCUCU
RNAcentral lists this signal recognition particle RNA (299 nucleotides) under Aotus nancymaae (Ma's night monkey). Its description in RNAcentral is "Metazoan signal recognition particle RNA (ENSANAG00000012993.1)". It matches the Rfam family "Metazoan signal recognition particle RNA". Rfam says of the family: The signal recognition particle (SRP) is a universally conserved ribonucleoprotein. The record is from RNAcentral. Lineage: Eukaryota; Metazoa; Chordata; Mammalia; Primates; Aotidae.